This is an RNA transcript of Nerophis ophidion (straightnose pipefish), 2875 nucleotides long. RefSeq lists it as uncharacterized. Lineage: Eukaryota; Metazoa; Chordata; Actinopteri; Syngnathiformes; Syngnathidae. The record is from RefSeq and is a predicted model, not a curated record. The transcript has 13 exons.
GUGUGUCUUUAAAAAAAAAAAAAUCACAACUUUGUGUCCCCUUUGUGGUUUGAAGCAAAGAAAGUGGACUUGGCGAUGGAUUUCAAUUUAAACUUUGUCGCUCUUUUCCUCGUCGCCGUGCCGACGACUACGCCGCCACACCUGAGCUGGUGCCUCCCCGCCUCCUCGCCGCACCUGGACCGCCACAAAAACUGCACGCUGGGCCAAAUCCGGAAUAUUAUACCUGGGGAGUUUUUCAUGGCCGGUCCCCAGGGGGGCUCGGACCCCCCCGUCACAGAUGUUUUGUCAUCAUCAGUCCCACCGCGAGGCGCCCAGCUGAGGGUCAGAGGUCAGCGGCGCGGCGGAGCAGGGGAGCUCCGGCGGAGGCUGCAGCCCGAGGUUGAAUGCCGGGACCACGCCAUUACCCUGACUGUCAGGCGCAGACCGGCCGGUCAACUCUUCCUAGACCGAGAGAACGAUACGUCCGUUCCCCUCACCCAGCUGCCCCGUCAGUGCGGCUACGCCGUGGAGACCGUCGGGGGAUACCUCCACCUGGCGGCUCGGUACGACGCCUGCCACGUCACACGACAGAGUGGCAGUUAUGUUUUGGCCCUGCUGUGGAGAGGGACUCCGGUCAAGAUCUCCUGCCCGGUCUCUCCGGUCAAGUCUCAGUCCAAGGGCCCGUCUUCACUCUGCUGUUCUCCGUACGGUUUCAACGUCAGACUGCCCGCUGCCCAGGAGCUGAGCAUUAAAGUGGGAGGAGAAUGGACCCCCAUGUUGUCGGCCCAGCAGUGUGGCUACACCUUAGACCGCCAAGGUGCAGACCUGCUGCUUGCUGCCGCCUUCAUGACGUGUGGCGUCGCAGUCAAGGACGGACAACACGUACUUCAUCUUCAAAUUGGAGAAAGCACCUUUUCCUUGGCCUGCCCUGUGUUUUCCUCCAGUGGUCCUCCUCUCACAGAGACCGUGGAGUCCUUCCCUUGGGAUCCGCCCUUCUACCUAGCCCCGCCUUUCUACCCCCACCCACCCAAUCAUGACCACAAUUCCGGUCCCCAGGGGGAAGAGAUCCCUCCAAUCUUCACAUCUCCAAGUCCUGAACUGGCUUUGGAACCCGUCGUGGAUGGACAGCCGCUCCCUCUUGACGCCCCCCAGCCAGACCCUGAAGACCACCGUUCUAUGGAGGAUUCAUUGGCGCACAGUUCUCAGGCGUCAACGGAUGACGUUUUUGGUUCAAGUCCGGCGCAUUCGGAUUUACAACGGCUGCAUGGCGACGCCGCUUCACCAGUUCAGGUUGACGCCCGGUCUUUCCAACGCCCAGGCAAUGCUUUCAAUCCAUACUACCACUACUACCAUCACCCCAAAGUCCCUAGUCUUCCUGAAGGUUCAGAUCCGGGUCUUGUGGCUCCUUUCUCUCACUUACCAUACCACUACUACUUUCCAAGUAUUACUUGGGCUGGGUCAUUACCAAAAAGUGAUACACAAUCCUCCGAUGAUCCUGUCCAAAGCACAAUAAGCAGACCGGUUCCUACAUCUCCAUGGCCUUCAGUCCAUGACUCAGAUCCAUCUUUAGUGGAGACCGGUACAAAUGAAAAGGUUGAUCUCCAAGAAUCUCAUUCUGAAGGCAUCCAAAGUCCAAAAUCCUCUACCUCUGGUGAAAAGGUAGAAAUGAUGAACGACAUGGAGACCGAGUCCGUGCCUGCGACUCCAGAUCUCCGGUCACUGGACGCUCCUUAUCCUGAUCAGUCUUCAUUUCCUUCCCCUUGUAAAUAUCACCAUGAUCCGAAUCCCUACGAUCAGACUCAUUCGUCCGAAGAAACCGUAGACCCGCAUCUUCCCAACCACUCUCCGGUCGAUCAAUCCAACACCCCGACCACGGACGAGACGUACGAUCUUCAUGAAGUGCAUCCUUACUUCUACUCCUCGGCCAACGAUGAAGUGAACUCUGAAGAAGGCGUGAUCUCGGACUUGUCCCAGUCUUGGCCUCCUGACGUGUCUUUGGGUCAACUGAGUCUUAACCCUGAGACGGGCAUUCCUCAGCCACCACAUGGUCAUUUCUACGAUCUCUAUCCCUCAGAUAUCAGUCAGCAGUAUCUCCAACUUUUUCAGCACCCUGGUGUGGAAGCAGAUGUGGACCUCGAUGAAACGAUCGACUGCAUGGAGGGACUUGAGUUUUUCCUCGUGACGCCCGGCGAGGCGGUGCAGAUGACCUCUGACCCCGGCGUCCACACAGCGGUCCUGCGUGCCUGCGACGCCAGCGAGCAGGUCUCGGACUUCCAUUCUCCUCAGGAAGAUUCUGCUGAUGAAAACACACCUGACAGGUGGCUUACGGACUGGAGGUGGCCUGCAGCGUCCCUGGAGGAUCCCAGUCUCCCUGGAAUCCAGUCCCCUGGACCUGCACCUCUUCACCAUCUACCAAGCACCGCCACUGUGCAGCUGAGGAUUGCUAAAGACGAGUCCUUUGGGAGCUACCACCCUGAGGCCCGCCUGCCGCUCAGCUCCCUGCAAGGAAGGCGGGUCUACCUGGAGGUGGGACUGCUGGAGCCCCAGGAUCCUGGUCUGCAGCUGCUGGUUCACUCCUGCCUGGCCUACACCCGAGGUGCAUCCACCCAGCCCGCGCUGGUCUAUGACGGCUGUCCCGGCCGCGGUGAUUCUCAGCUGCUUCCUUCCCCACACGGCAACCCUCGCCACACCCGGAGGAUCUCGGUCUCUCACUUCCUGCACACUUCUUCUCUCAACUACGGCAACCUGUCUCACUUGGAGGACCCUGAGUCCGUCCUUAGAUCUACUUCCUGUGUGUGACACAAGUGUGCUCUACCACAGAAGGCGACUGCGUUGUUGGCUGCAUCAACAGUCCCCAUAAUGAUGUAUGAACAUGAAAAUAAAAAGACUAAAUACA